AGUAGUUUGAUCAUGGCUCAGAACGAACGCUGGCGGCAUGCCUAACACAUGCAAGUCGAACGAAGUCUUCGGACUUAGUGGCGCACGGGUGCGUAACGCGUGGGAAUCUGCCCUUGGGUGCGGAAUAACUUCUCGAAAGGGAUGCUAAUACCGCAUAAUGUCGUAAGACCAAAGAUUUAUCGCCCAAGGAUGAGCCCGCGUAAGAUUAGCUAGUUGGUAAGGUAACGGCUUACCAAGGCAACGAUGGGUAGGGGUCCUGAGAGGGAGAUCCCCCACACUGGUACUGAGACACGGACCAGACUCCUACGGGAGGCAGCAGUGAGGAGUAUUGGACAAUGGGCGCAAGCCUGAUCCAGCCAUGCCGCGUGCAGGAUGACGGUCCUAUGGAUUGUAAACUGCUUUUGCACAGGAAGAAACAACUCUACGUGUAGAGUCUUGACGGUACUGUGAGAAUAAGGAUCGGCUAACUCCGUG
RNAcentral lists this ribosomal RNA (474 nucleotides) under uncultured bacterium. Its description in RNAcentral is "bacterial SSU rRNA". It matches the Rfam family "Bacterial small subunit ribosomal RNA", at positions 1 to 507 of the family's 1533-position model. The record is from RNAcentral.